Long non-coding RNA from Parambassis ranga (Indian glassy fish), 1580 nucleotides. NCBI's taxonomy places the organism in Eukaryota, Metazoa, Chordata, Actinopteri, Ambassidae. The record is from Ensembl.
GAAGCGUGGAUACUGCAUUAUGCUGCGCCACGAUCCACAACCAGUAAGAGUGACUGGCUGGUUUUAAUAAAGGUUAAAAAGCGGUUUCUGUUCUAUUUCUUCUAGGAGGUCCCAGUAAUGAGGAAGACUCUCACAUAUGAAGCUCCUGGGGUGAGGCGGCCGGAGUCAUUCCUCAUCAAUACCUUAGGACGCUGCAUUUGUGUUGAUGUUUGACUGAUGCUCUGAUUUUUCAGAGCCGAGUGGACGCUGAUCCAGGUGCCGGUUUGCUGCUAAGCUCCCAGACCUUCACAGCCGAGACCUCCAACACCACCACCACCACACACAUCACCAAGGUAACACCAUCACCAUCACGUAAAUCAGUACUGGGGGAUAACACACUGUGGAGUAAUGAGGGGUUUCUGUUUUUCACCUCAGACGGUGAAAGGAGGAAUUUCAGAAACCAGAAUUGAGAAGAGAAUCGUGAUUUCUGGAGACACAGAGAUCGACCACGACCAGGUACUGUGACUCUGUAAGGCUAGUUGGAUAUAAAGGACAGAGAAGCAAUAAGGCAGAUCCAGAUGUGAUGUGGUGAGGCCUGUACCUAAACCAUGCUCCAGACCCAGACCAGGUUUUGACACUCGUGUCUUUCUUGAAGGCCCUGGCAGCAGCGCUCAGCGAGGCGCGACGGCAGCAUCCUGAGCUGUCCGUCACCCGAGUUGUCGUCCAUAAAGAAACCGAGGUCUCUCCUGAACAUGUUAUUGAGUAAUGACAGCAAAGGAAUCCUAAGGCCUCUGCUGCAUUAUGGGAGUUGCAGUCCAGUCUACAGAACCAUCGCUGCCAUUGUUUGCAGUGCCACUCAGUGGAUAAGAAACUAAGGAUUUACAGGCACCCACCCCCACAUCUUCAUGCAUGUACAUGUGUAAGCACACAGUAACACAGUAGGACCUGUCUGCCUGACCGGGUGGAUCAUACGCUUCUGAGCAGUUAGCAUUACCUCGAUUGUGUAACUAGAUUUAGAUGAAAGUGUUGUGAAGACUUAUGCAACACACCAAGAUGGCUGAGAGGCAGACGGGCUGCUGCUGUGAUUAACACCGUGUACCUCAGAUCAACCUUCAUCAACAAACCUCCGACAGGUUAAAGGCAUUGAUUGGCUGCUGACUCAGGAGCUCCCGAUGGAGACAUUAGCUUUAUUACACAUUGAAGAGCAUCACGCCUGAAAGGCUGGUUUACCUGAUCAGGUCACUGUCAGGAGAGGAACUGGGCUUUUAUUCUGACAGUCUGAUGCACACUGUUUCCUGUCUAAAAUGUAAAACAGCAUGACUAGAAGCACUGCAAUGACACACUGUAUAGUAGCUAAAGCUCUGUAUUUACCCACAAUUCAAUAGUAAUGUGCCAUUCUUCUUUUAUCUUGCCAUAAGAACCCUUAUUUAUUUAUUUAUUUAUGUAUUUAUUUGCACUUGUUUGUUGUGUUUAUUUACUGAUUAGAUCUGACCCCUGCCAGUCUUAGAACCCCCCAACCCAUGGUGUCAGGUGACAGACAGACCACGCCCCCCCCCUUCCCGUGGUGUCAGGUGACAGACAGACCACGCCCCAUCGGUGUC